Dreissena polymorpha is the source of this 651-nucleotide long non-coding RNA. RefSeq lists it as uncharacterized. NCBI's taxonomy places the organism in Eukaryota, Metazoa, Mollusca, Bivalvia, Myida, Dreissenidae. The record is from RefSeq and is a predicted model, not a curated record. The transcript has 2 exons.
UUUAUACGCCCGUAUAAAAUACGGGACGUAUUAUGUGAAACCCCUUGGCGGCGGGCGGCGGGCGGCGGGCGGCGGGCGGAAGGCAUCACUUUGUCCGGACUCUAAUUCAAAUUGUAUUCAUCCGAUCUUCACCAAACUUGGUCAGCAGUUGCAUCUAGUUGAUAUCUAGGCCAAGUUCGAAUAUGGGUCAUGCCGGGUCAAAAACUAGGUCAUAGGGUCAAUUAGUGCAUUUUCAACGGCGCCACUUUGUCCGGACUCUAAUUCAAAUUGUAUUCAUCCGAUCUUCACCAAACUUGGUCAGAAGUUGUAUCUAGACAAUAUCUAGGUCAAGUUCGAAUAUGGGUCAUGCCGGGUCAAAAACUAGGUCACAGGGUCACUUAGUGUAUUUCAAGCAUUUAGCAUGGUGUCCGCUCUCUAAUUGAAGUAGUUUUCAUCCGAUCUUCACCAAACUUGGUCAGAAGUUGUAUCUAGACAAUGUUUAGGUCAAGUUCAAAUAUGGGUCAUGCCGGGUCAAAAACUAGGUCACAGGGUCACUUAAACCAUUUCAAGCAUUUAGCAUGGUGUCCGCUCUCUAAUUGAAGUAGUUAUCAUCCGAUCUUCACCAAAUUUGGUCAGAAGUUGUGUCUAGACAAUAUCUACAUGUAGGUCAAG